CCUACGGGAGGCUGCAGUGGGGGAUAUUGCACAAUGGGGGGAACCCUGAUGCAGCGACGCCGCGUGGGUGAAGAAGCGCCUCGGCGCGUAAAGCCCUGUCAGCAGGGAAGAAAAUGACGGUACCUGAAGAAGAAGCCCCGGCUAACUACGUGCCAGCAGCCGCGGGAAUACGUAGGGGGCAAGCGUUAUCCGGAUUUACUGGGUGUAAAGGGGGCGCAGACGGCGAUGCAAGCCAGGAGUGAAAGCCCGGGGCCCAACCCCGGGACUGCGCUUGGAACUGCGUGGCUGGAGUGCAGGAGGGGCAGGCGGAAUUCCUGGUGUAGCGGUGAAAUGCGUAGAUAUCAGGAGGAACACCGGUGGCGAAGGCGGCCUGCUGGACUGCAACUGACGUUGAGGCCCGAAAGCGUGGGGAGCAAACAGGAUUAGAUACCCCGGUAGUC
Molecule: ribosomal RNA, 440 nt
Filed under: uncultured bacterium
Lineage: Bacteria
Description: partial 16S ribosomal RNA
Rfam family: Bacterial small subunit ribosomal RNA
Source: RNAcentral